GGGAGAGUAUUUUUUCCUACUCUAUUGAAUUUUUUUUUUUUUUUUGGCCUCUCCCUAGCUUCGAUCCUUAGCACCAGGAGAGUAUCACCAGGUUAUGAAGAAUCUCCAGGCCCAUUAUGAAGACUUUCUACAGGAUAGUCGUGACUCUGCACUCUUCUCAGUGGCUGAUCGAUUGCGCUUGGAAGAGGAGGUGGAAGCUUGUAAAGCCCACUUCCAGCACCUGAUGAAAUCCAUGGAGAAUGAGGACAAAGAAGAGAAUGUGGCCAGGGUAUACAUCUCAGAGCUGAAGAAUAUCCGACUACGCCUGGAGGAGUGUGAACAGAGACUGGUCAAACGAAUUCAGUCUCCAGCUAGCUCUAGAUCUGACAGAGAUGUGAGGCAGGAUAUCACAUUAAGGAUUGCAGAGCAAGAGCAUACUCAGGAGGAUUUGCAGCACCUGAGGUCUGACCUGGAUUCUGUUUCCAUGAAAUGCAACAUCUUUCUUCAGCAGUCUCCAUCAGGUUCCAGUGCUCCAACUCUUCGCUCAGAGCUGAACCUGCUGGUAGAAAAGAUGGACCACGUCUAUGGUCUGUCUACUAUCUACCUGAAUAAGUGAGUAAGCCUAAGCCUUGGGUUCAAAGAGCAGUUUUUCUCUUGAGAUAAUACAGGAAAUUACCUUGAGUGUUCAUAACUGAUCCAAAGGACCACAGCUCUAUACUGAGAAGUCUCAGCUGUAGGUCCUUAAUAACACAACAUGGGCUUAUUUGGAUUACAGUAUGUCAGUGAUAGGGAUGAUGGAUAGAUUUGCAUUGUUAGGUCUGUUCCUUACCUCAUUUCUGUUUGAUUAGAUACCUCUGGAAAUAACACUUAGAAAUAGUAAGAGAAAGGGAGAGAAACUAAAGAAUUAAAACUUUAGCUAAGCCAGAUAAUGGAGUAUUUGACGAUCUCCUGCUUACCCAUCUCCACUCCUGAACUCGAGGUGCCUUCUUGCCACAAUAUGUGGUAUGUCCCAGUACCACUUUGAAUUUCACUCUGAACUAGCUUAAA
Molecule: long non-coding RNA, 1026 nt
Filed under: Nannospalax galili (Upper Galilee mountains blind mole rat)
Lineage: Eukaryota; Metazoa; Chordata; Mammalia; Rodentia; Spalacidae
Description: lncRNA (ENSNGAG00000024600.1)
Source: RNAcentral